RNAcentral lists this transfer RNA (56 nucleotides) under Capra hircus (goat). It matches the Rfam family "tRNA", at positions 8 to 63 of the family's 71-position model. From Rfam's summary of the family: Transfer RNA (tRNA) molecules are approximately 80 nucleotides in length. RNAcentral also lists the same sequence under 1 other name. Lineage: Eukaryota; Metazoa; Chordata; Mammalia; Artiodactyla; Bovidae. The record is from Rfam by way of RNAcentral.
UGGCUCAGACGGUAAAGCGUCUGUCUGCAGUGCAGGAGACCAGGGUUCGAUCCCUG